RNAcentral lists this ribosomal RNA (520 nucleotides) under uncultured Glomus. RNAcentral describes it as "SSU rRNA". It matches the Rfam family "Eukaryotic small subunit ribosomal RNA", at positions 569 to 1093 of the family's 1831-position model. The record is from RNAcentral. Lineage: Eukaryota; Fungi; Glomeromycota; Glomeromycetes; Glomerales; Glomeraceae.
CGCAGCCGCGGUAAUUCCAGCUCCAAUAGCGUAUAUUAAAGUUGUUGCAGUUAAAAAGCUCGUAGUUGAAUUUCGGGAUUAGUACGUCGGUCGUGCCUUCGGUACGUACUGGUGUUACUGAUUCCUACCUUCUGACGAACCAUCAUGUCAUUAAUUUGGUGUGGCGGGGAAUCAGGACUGUUACUUUGAAAAAAAUUAGAGUGUUUAAAGCGGGCUCGCGCUUGAAUACAUUAGCAUGGAAUAAUGAAAUAGGACGUUGACCCUAUUUUGUUGGUUUCUAGGAUUGACGUAAUGAUUAAUAGGGAUAGUUGGGGGCAUUAGUAUUCAAUUGUCAGAGGUGAAAUUCUUGGAUUUAUUGAAGACUAACUACUGCGAAAGCAUUUGCCAAGGAUGUUUUCAUUAAUCAAGAACGAAAGUUAGGGAUCGAAGACGAUCAGAUACCGUCGUAGUCUUAACCAUAAACUAUGCCGACUAGGGAUCGGAUGAUGUUAUUUUUAAUGACUCAUUCGGCGCCUUACGG